RNAcentral lists this ribosomal RNA (466 nucleotides) under uncultured bacterium. Its description in RNAcentral is "partial 16S ribosomal RNA". It matches the Rfam family "Bacterial small subunit ribosomal RNA", at positions 28 to 507 of the family's 1533-position model. The record is from RNAcentral.
GACGAACGCUGGCGGCGCGCCUAACACAUGCAAGUCGAACGAGCGAGGGAGAGCUUGCUUUCUUGCGCGAGUGGCGCACGGGUGAGUCACCCGUGAGGAACCUGCCUCCAAGAGGGGGACAACAGUUGUAAACGACUGCUAAUACCGCAUAAGCCCACGUUGCCGCAUGGCACAGCGGGAAAAGGAGCAAUCCGCUUUGAGAUGGCCGCGCGUCCGAUUAGCUAGUUGGUGAGGUAACGGCACAACAAGGCGGCGAUCGGUAGCCGGACUGAGGGGUAGAACCGACACAGGGGGACAGAGACACGGCCGAGACUUCCACGGGAGGGAGGAGUGGGGAAUACUGCAAAAGGGGGGAAACUGUGAGGGCGCGGCGGCGCGGAGAUGAAGAAGGUCUGCGGAGUGUAAAUUCUUGUUGUGGGAGAAGAUAAUGACGGUACCCAACAAAUAAGUGACGGCUAACUACGUG